CGCUAUACUAACCCUCGAAAAUACCGGUCCAUGCUUGCGGACCGGUUUUUAUUGUCU
Yokenella regensburgei ATCC 43003 is the source of this 57-nucleotide non-coding RNA. NCBI's taxonomy places the organism in Bacteria, Pseudomonadati, Pseudomonadota, Gammaproteobacteria, Enterobacterales, Enterobacteriaceae. The record is from Rfam.